AGAGUUUGAUCCUGGCUCAGGACGAACGCUGGCGGCGUGCCUAACACAUGCAAGUCGAACGGACCGCGGAGGGCUUGCUCUCCAAGGUUAGUGGCGAACGGGUGCGUAACACGUGAGAAACGUACCCACCGGUGGGGGAUAGCCGGCCCAACGGCCGGGUAAUACCGCAUGCGACGCCUUUCGGGCAUCCGAAGGGCGGGAAAGCAGCAAUGCGCCGGUGGAGCGUCUCGCGGCCUAUCAGCUUGUUGGUGAGGUAAUGGCUUACCAAGGCUACAACGGGUAGCUGGUCUGAGAGGAUGAUCAGCCACAUUGGGACUGAGACACGGCCCAGACUCCUACGGGAGGCAGCAGUGGGGAAUAUUGCGCAAUGGCCGAAAGGCUGACGCAGCGACGCCGCGUGCGGGAUGAAGGCCCUCGGGUCGUAAACCGCUGUCACGAGGGACGAAACUCUGACGGUACCUCCAGAGGAAGCACCGGCUAACUCCGUGCCAGCAGCCGCGGUAAUACGGAGGGUGCGAGCGUUGUCCGGAAUCACUGGGCGUAAAGGGCGCGUAGGCGGCGCAGUAAGUAGGGGGUGAAAUCUCACGGCUCAACCGUGAAACUGCCUCCUAAACUGCUGUGCUUGAGCACGGUAGAUGCAGAUGGAAUUCCCGGUGUAGCGGUGGAAUGCGUAGAUAUCGAGAAGAACACCAAUGUCCA
This 699-nucleotide ribosomal RNA is filed under the name uncultured bacterium. RNAcentral describes it as "bacterial SSU rRNA". It matches the Rfam family "Bacterial small subunit ribosomal RNA", at positions 8 to 718 of the family's 1533-position model. The record is from RNAcentral.